ACUGCCCCCAGUGGCUUUGCAGGUGAGGUUGCUAUGGUGCCACCCAGGUGUCAAUGGGUGUCAGAGAGGUGGAAGACUAUGUCUACACUAGGUGUCCUGACCUGUAAACAUCAGAAUGAUUAGUAAUUAUCUUA
Apodemus sylvaticus (European woodmouse) is the source of this 134-nucleotide small nucleolar RNA. RefSeq annotates it as small nucleolar RNA SNORA17. The transcript has a single exon. Lineage: Eukaryota; Metazoa; Chordata; Mammalia; Rodentia; Muridae. The record is from RefSeq and is a predicted model, not a curated record.